AGCGAACGCUGGCGGCAGGCUUAACACAUGCAAGUCGAGCGCCCCGCAAGGGGAGCGGCAGACGGGUGAGUAACACGUGGGAACGUGCCUUUUGGUUCGGAACAACCCAGGGAAACUUGGGCUAAUACCGGAUAAGCCCUUACGGGGAAAGAUUUAUCGCCAAAAGAUCGGCCCGCGUCUGAUUAGCUAGUUGGUGGGGUAAUGGCCCACCAAGGCUACGAUGCGUAGCUGGUCUGAGAGGAUGAUCAGCCACAUUGGGACUGAGACACGGCCCAAACUCCUACGGGAGGCAGCAGUGGGGAAUAUUGGACAAUGGGGGCAACCCUGAUCCAGCCAUGCCGCGUGAGUGAUGAAGGCCUUAGGGUUGUAAAGCUCUUUUAGCAGGGAAGAUAAUGACGGUACCUGCAGAAAAAGCCCCGGCUAAUUUCGUGCCAGCCGCCGCCGUAA
RNAcentral lists this ribosomal RNA (447 nucleotides) under uncultured bacterium. RNAcentral describes it as "partial 16S ribosomal RNA". It matches the Rfam family "Bacterial small subunit ribosomal RNA", at positions 29 to 523 of the family's 1533-position model. The record is from RNAcentral.